RNAcentral lists this ribosomal RNA (450 nucleotides) under uncultured bacterium. RNAcentral's name for it is "bacterial SSU rRNA". It matches the Rfam family "Bacterial small subunit ribosomal RNA", at positions 354 to 796 of the family's 1533-position model. The record is from RNAcentral.
GUGGGGAAUAUUGGACAAUGGGGGAAACCCUGAUCCAGCAACGCCGCGUGGGGGAUGAAGGUCUUCGGAUUGUAAACCCCUGUUGGGAGGGGCGAAGGCUUCCGGGCGAACAGUCCGGAAGCUUGACGGUACCUCCAGAGAAAGCCCCGGCUAACUCUGUGCCAGCAGCCGCGGUAAUACAGAGGGGGCAAGCGUUAUUCGGAAUCAUUGGGCGUAAAGGGCGCGUAGGCGGCCGAGCAAGUCUUGGGUGAAAUCCCUCGGCUUAACCGAGGAACUGCCUUGGAAACUGCUUGGCUUGAGGCCGGGAGAGGGUGGUGGAAUUCCCAGUGUAGCGGUGAAAUGCGUAGAUACUGGGAGGAACACCAGUGGCGAAGGCGGCCACCUGGACCGGUCCUGACGCUGAGGCGCGAAAGCGUGGGGAGCAAACAGGAUUAGAUACCCCAGUAGUCC